Long non-coding RNA from Oncorhynchus keta (chum salmon), 798 nucleotides. RefSeq lists it as uncharacterized. The transcript is spliced from 5 exons. Lineage: Eukaryota; Metazoa; Chordata; Actinopteri; Salmoniformes; Salmonidae. The record is from RefSeq and is a predicted model, not a curated record.
GUCAGCACAUCCAGAAGUGACCGAUACUAUGAAUACUCACAGGAGAGGUUCUUGGCCAGUCAACAGUCCUAAAUAUUCUGAAAUAAUCCAGAAAUAUAGACUAGAAAGUGGUAUAAUUGACUCAAACAUAUUUAGCUUUCUAAAUGAAGAUGCAUGUGACUGUUUAUCAGAGUUAGGUGGUCAUUCGUACCAGGUGUGUGUAGUGUGUGUUGUUCGUACCAGGUGUGUGUGUGUGUGUAGUGUGUGUUGUUCGUACCAGGGGUGUGUGUGUAGUGUGUGUUGUUCGUACCAGGGGUGUGUGUGUGUAGUGUGUGUUGUUCGUACCAGGGGGGUGUGUGUGUAGUGUGUGUUGUUCGUACCAGGGGUGUGUGUGUGUAGUGUGUGUUGUUCGUACCAGGUGUGUGUGUGUAGUGUGUGUUGUUCGUACCAGGGAUGUGUGUAGUGUGUGUGUAUAGUGUGUGUUGUUCGUACCAGGGGUGUGUGUGUGUGUAGUGUGUGUUGUUCGUACCAGGGGUGUGUGUGGGUGUGUGUAGUGUGUGUUGUUCGUACCAGGGAUGUGUGUAGUGUGUGUGUGUAGUGUGUGUGUUCGUACCAGGGGUGUGUGUAGUGUGUUGUUCGUACCAGGGAUGUGUAGUGUGUGUGUGUGUGUGUGGGUGUGUGUAGUGUGUGUUGUUCGUACCAGGGGUGUGUGUGUAGUGUGUGUGUAGUGUGUGUGUGUGUGUGUAGUGUGUGUGUUCGUACCAGGGAUGGGUGUGUAGUGUGUGUUGUUCGUACCAGGGGUGUGUGUAGUGUGUGUUG